Molecule: RNA transcript, 5630 nt
Organism: Quercus robur (English oak)
Lineage: Eukaryota; Viridiplantae; Streptophyta; Magnoliopsida; Fagales; Fagaceae
Gene name: disease resistance protein RUN1-like
Exons: 11
Source: RefSeq, a predicted model, not a curated record
CAUUCCCCUCAAAUCAUUUUCUCUACUCAGCUCCUCUCUCUAUCCGUAUUCACUCAUCCCUUUACCUAUUUCUCUCUCCAUCUUCAUCUCUUAUAGAUGAGAGGCUAUUGGAGAAAUUACCAUUUUGUUUGACCACAAUGACCCGGUAUGCUGCUUAGAAACUUCCAACAUUUAUUUUAGAUUUCACACGGAUACUUCAAUGAAGAAAGCAUCGUUGGUUCUUUGAAAGUUCUAAGAGUUUCUGGGUAUACCGAAAACAAGCCACCUUUAAAGGCUCCUCUUGCUUUACAUUCACCCUCUUCCUAAUUUCUCAUUCACUUUCCUGACUUAUAUUCCAAUCCCUUCACAGUUUUCUUCCUCCUUCUUUCAGAUCUUUACAGCUGUUUGCUCAUAAAUCUCGAUGGCUCUUGUGACCUGCCAAGGAGCCUCAUCUUCUUCUUUCACUCACCAACCCAAAAAGUUUGACGUCUUCUUGAGUUUCAGAGGUGAAGAUACCCGUUUUGGUUUUAUAAGUCAUUUGAAUGAGGUUUUGCGAUCGAGGGGUAUUCACACCUUCAUCGAUGAUAAGCUUCCAAGAGGAGAAAAAAUUUUUACAGAGCUUCUCAAAACCAUUGAGAACUCAAUUAUGUCAAUAAUUGUAUUUUCUGAAAAUUAUGCGUCUUCCACUUGGUGUUUGGAUGAACUUGCCAAGAUUGUUGAGUGCAAAAACAAUGACCAGUUGGUGCGACCAGUUUUUUACAAGGUGGAUCCAUCAGAAAUUCGUAACCAAAAUGGAAAGUUUGGAGAAGCCCUAGCUAAACAUGAAGGAAAACUUAAGGAUAGCAAGAAAGUAGAAAGAUGGAGAAAAGCUCUCCACGAAACCGCUAAUAUAUCUGGUUGGCAUUACAAGCAUAGUUGCGACGAGUUCAAAUUUAUCCAAGGAAUUGUUGAAGAGAUCUCAAAUUCUAAAUUUAAUCGAACACCAUUAUUUGUUGCACGAUACCCAAUUGGAAUAAAUUAUCGUGUAAAGCCCAUUCUUUUAGAUAUGGAGUCAAAUGAUAGUCAUAUAAUAUGUAUCAAUGGCCCUGGUGGAAUAGGUAAGACAACAAUUGCAAAAGCUAUUUUUAAUAGAAUUUGUGAUCAUUUUGAUGGAUUUGGUUAUCUAGAAAAUUUAAGAGAAAGAUCGGGGACAGAUGCUGGUGUAAUCAAACUACAAGAGACACUUCUUUUUGAGGUCUUAAGAGAUAGAAAUUUAAAGGUGGGUAGCAAAUCUAGAGGUGUCAAUAUGAUAAAGGAAAGACUUUCAUUUAUGAGGAUUCUUUUAGUUCUUGAUGAUGUGGAUAAAUGGAUCCAAAUAGAAAAUUUGCUUGAAAGAUGUGAUUGGUUUGCUUAUGGAAGCAAAAUCAUUAUAACAACAAGAGACAAACACUUGACAGCUACACUUGGAAAUUGUUGUUCAACCUACUCGAUUAAGGAAUUAGAUCAAGAUGAAGCCCUUGAACUUUUUAGUAUGCACACCUUCCAAAGCAACAAACCCAAAGAUGAUUAUUUGGAACUUGCAGAUAGAGUUAUACAACAUACCAAGGGAUUGCCAUUGGCUCUAGUAAUAAUUGGUGCUGAUUUGUGUGGAAGAACAAAACCUGAAUGGAUAAGUGCAAUAGAAAAGUAUGAAAGAAUUCCUAAUGAAGAAAUUAAAAAAAUACUCGAAAUAAGUUAUGAAGGAUUGGAUAAAACUGAAAAAGAUAUUUUCCUUGAUAUUGCAUGCUUCUUUGAGGGAUUUCUUAAGAAGUAUGUCAUUGAUAUACUGGAUGCUUGUAAUUUAUAUCCAAUUUUUGGAAUUCAAAGACUUAUCGAUAAGUGCCUAAUAACUGUUGGUCAAUAUGAUAAAUUAUUGAUGCAUGACUUGCUUCAACAAAUGGGUAGGGACAUUGUUCAACGGGAAUCACCAGACUUGCCUGGAGAGCGCAGUAGGCUAUGGUGUUAUGAGGAUGUUCAUAAAGUACUAAAACAAAAUACGGGAUCGGAAAAAAUUCGAGGCAUAAGGAUAUGCUCACCUGAGCCAUCAAAGAUGAAAUUGGAACCUAAAUGUCUUGAAAAGAUGAAAAAUCUCAAGUUUCUCAUAGUUAGUAAUGUAGAUAUUUGUAGAGGUCUCAAAUAUCUUCCUAAUGAAUUAAGGGUUCUUGAUUGGUCUGGAUAUCCUUUAUCUUCCUUACCAUCCAAUUUUGAUCCUAAAAAUCUCAUUGCACUCAACAUGCCAGAAAGUCGGGUUACAUUGGACAAGCUUUUCAAGAGGAUACAAUGCAAAAACUUGACAUAUAUGAAUUUCAAUUCCAAUCAAUACAUUAGGAAAUUACCUGACUUAUCGAGUGCCACCCCAAACAUAAAAAAAUUGGAUCUCCGUGACUGUAGAAGAUUAGUCAAUGUUCCUGACGCUGUUGGAUAUCUUGAUAAGCUUGAAUGCUGGGACCUCUGGAAUUGCGUUGAACUUCAAACUCUUCCAAGCUGUAUUGUGAUGAAAUCUCUUAAACAUUUAAAUCUUUUUGAAUGCGUAAGGUUUAAGAGGUUCCCUCAUAUUCCACAAGAAAUGGAAAAUUUAAAGUAUCUAAGUGUGGGACGCACGGCCAUUACAAAUCUUCCUCCAUCAAUUGGGAAUCUCACUGGGCUUGAGCGAUUAGAGAUAGGUUCUGAUUUCUAUUCGUGUCAUCUUCCAAGUAGCAUUUAUAAAUUGCAACAACUUCGCAUACUCUUCCUUUUUGGUAAUGUCAAAUUUUCACAAGACAUGGAGAUUGGUAGACAAGCAGCAACGCCCAAUUCUUACUGUGGCAUUUCAAAAGAUUGUUUUCCGAAGUUGAAUUUUCUAAAAAAGUUGACUUGCUUCACCCGCUCAGAGAAAUGUUUAUUAUCAAGAAGCAAAGAUUUGAACCUAGAAAGCAUUAUCAGAUUCAAUAGAUUAAAAAGGCUUCUAAUUCGGGAUUCCAAGUUCCUUAUGAAAAUUCCUAAGCUUCCAGAAAGUAUAAGACAAGUAGAUGCAACAAACUGCAUCUCGUUGAAUUCAGAAUCAUUAAGAAAAUUAAUCCUUCAGUUUGGAAGAAAUUUAGGGCUUUCACCAGAUAUGAAAUGUUCAGGUGUGAAAUACAAAGUAUUAAUGGAUUCGCAUUCACAUUGCAAAUUAUCGAAUCAGAUUGAUUGCUCUUCUCGAGUCUCUCUCUCCAAGUUCUACGCAAUUGAAGAUGAGUACUUUCCUACUCUAGAUGCAUAUCUGGUUGAUUUUGGAGAGAGAUAUGAUAUUCUAGUACCAGGAAAGAAGAUUCCGAAUUGGAUCAAUCAUCAAAGCAUUGAAAGUUCCAUAUCAUUCUGGGUUGGUCUUGAGUUUCCAUCAUUUGCUAUUUGUGUUGCUCUUCAUCUAGUUCCGUUGAAGGACAGAUAUGCUAGUAAUGAUAAGUACGAUUCUAUUUGUGAUGAUAUAAUCGAUUGUGUUUUUGAUAUCCACAUUUCUACCGAUAGUCGUAAGCGACGUCACAUGGUUAGGUGGCGUUUUCAUGAUUUGAAGUGUGAUCAUCUUUUGUUUUGCGGUGAACCUCACUGUCAAUUACAGAGGGAAUUCGGAGACUUGAUGCAAGGUGGUCAGAAUCAUAUUGAGGUUUCAUGUAAAAUCGAUCAGUGGGCAAGUAGAAACGGAAAAUAUGCUCCUGUGAUUGCAAGGAUGGGAGUACAUGUGGAAUGCAUAUGUCCUCAGAAUUCCGUUAUCAUCAAACACAAUUCUCAAAAUGUUGAUGACGACAUAGAGGAGCUCACACCUUUACUAUCUCAAAAUGGUUCACAUACGGACUUAGAUGCAUGAGACUCUUUAAGCUCCUCUAGUCCCUGAUGACAUCUGAUUCAAGGCGUCUAGUGGAUAUAGCAAAUGGGCUUGACUUAUGUUUGGGUAUUGACUCAGCAGAUGGUAAUGGGUUUGAUUUGGGUUCUUCUUCAAUAGCCAAUCCCUUUAUAAAAAUAUGACUCCAUUUUCAAUCUGUAUCCACUGUCAAAAAAACUGAGUCCAAUGCGGAAAUAUGCCCAGGUUUUACAAUACUGAGCAGCCAAAUUGGAGUACUUUUCAUAUAAUGACUCAACUGUAACACAAUGUCUUCCUCCUCUAGUCUCUCACAAAAUUGGGCACCUAUCUUUGCCAAUUGAUUCAAGGCUUCAAUUAGAUGUGACAAAUGGGUCUGACUCGGGUUUGGGAUCUGACUCAACUUUUGGAGAUGGGUUUGAUUUAGCUCCCUCUUCAAUGGCCUAUUCCUCUAUAAACUAUGAUUCAAACUUCAAUCCAUAUCCACAGUUGAAGAAAAAGAUCCUCUUGAUCAAAUUUCUAGAAAACAUGACAAGCAUCUAGAAAUUGCCAGAUUUUGUUUCAGUUAAGGAAAGGCUUACCAUGAAAAGAAAAAGAGAUGAGAUGAUUAGUAAAUUAGUGGAUCAAUAAAGGGUUCCAAUAGAUGUGACAGGUGGGUCUGACUUUGAUAUGGGAUUUGCUUUAAAAGUUGAACAUGGGUUUAUUUUGGGUUCCUCUUCACUGGCCUAUCCCUCGGUGAAUGAUGAUUCCAAUUUCAAUUCAUAGCCACAGUCAAAGAAAAUUAAAAUCUCUUGAUCAAAUUUCAAGGAAACAUAGCAAGGGAUUUAUAUGUUCUCCUAGCUCUUGACUUUUAAUGUAAAAGUCUUUCUUGGUGUUUUCAUGCUAAGGACUUGAAAUUAAAUUUUUAAGGUCUAAGGGACACUUUUAUUGGCUUGAUCUGUUCAAGAUAACCAAAAAAAAAAAAAAAGGGGACAAGCAUUUGUGCAGUUGGUAAAGAGGAUGACCUCUGUUGCCAAUAGUGAGCUUGAUGAAAGAGUAAUGGGCAUCAUGGAUCUCCUCAAUUAGAAUGGCUUUGCUUGGGAUGAAAUUUGCAAAAUAGUGGCAGCUAAUGUUGAGCUUUGGGAAGCUUAUAUCAAGGAUCAUCUGGAUGCAAUUGCUCAUAGAGAUAGGAUCACAUAUUUGUGAAUUGUGCUUGAUUAAUGUUAAUGAAAGUCAAAAUGGAAGAUCAAGUAGUUUGGACAUGACAAUGGAGAUCAACAAUAUUGCCCUUCCAAUGGGGUCAAUGAUAUAACUGGGAUAUGCAAUAUCCAACUAGGGAGUUUGAAAUAUCUUAUCAGUGGAAAUAAUAGAAAGUUUGUAACUUCUUAAGCCUUUGCAUGAUCUCAAAAAGUUCAAAGAACAUCUAGGAAGAGAUACAAGAAGCAAUUGACCAAAUGCCAUGAGUAGUCAAAACUGUUCCUAACAUAGAUGAGAAGCUCUUUUUGGAGGCUUGUGAACUUUUAAAAGAUGAGAGAGUGGCCAAGAAAGAUUUCUGGGAAUUCAUUCUUCAAAUGUUUGGAAUAUGGUACCAGCAUGUCACAAUGCCCAAACAUUUUAUGGAAAUUGAAAGACCUAUAGAUCGGUUGAAGUCUUUGCUACUUAGGACUUUAUUUGAGUGGUUUCGUAUUUGGGGUUUUAUGCAUUGUAUUUCUUUAUUUGAUUUCCUUAAUUUUGUUAGCUAAUCCUUUUGAUUAUUUGGUAUUUCAUUUCUUUGUAGUGGUUUACUAUUGUACACUCAUUGUACUUUUCUUAUCAAUAAAGAUUUUAUUACCUAUCAAAA